Mycena rebaudengoi is the source of this 94-nucleotide non-coding RNA. Lineage: Eukaryota; Fungi; Basidiomycota; Agaricomycetes; Agaricales; Mycenaceae. The record is from the annotation of a GenBank genome assembly.
GGCCCAGUGGCGGACGGUAUCCGCAUCUGCAGUCAAUAUAUAAACUCAAACGGGAUGCAUGCAGACACCGCUCGUUCGACUCGAGCCUGGGCCG